This 1482-nucleotide ribosomal RNA is filed under the name uncultured bacterium. RNAcentral's name for it is "partial 16S ribosomal RNA". The record is from RNAcentral.
GGUUACCUUGUUACGACUUCACCCCAAUUACUAACCCCACCUUCGGCCGCGUCCUCCUAAGUUAGACUACGGACUUCGGGUGUCGCCAGCUCUCAUGGUGUGACGGGCGGUGUGUACAAGGCCCGGGAACGUAUUCACCGCGACAUUCUGAUUCGCGAUUACUAGCAACUCCAACUUCAUGUAGGCGAGUUUCAGCCUACAAUCCGAACUGGGGGCAGUUUUUGAGGUUUGCUCCACCUCGCGGUCUUGCAUCUCUCUGUACUGCCCAUUGUAGCACGUGUGUUGCCCUGGACAUAAGGGGCAUGAUGAUUUGACGUCAUCCCUACCUUCCUCCGCGUUAACCGCGGCAGUCUUGCUAGAGUGCUCAACUUAAUGUUAGCAACUAACAACAGGGGUUGCGCUCGUUGCAGGACUUAACCUAACAUCUCACGACACGAGCUGACGACAACCAUGCACCACCUGUAUCCCUGCCCCGAAGGGCUUCUCUUAUCUCUAAGAAUAUGCAGGGUAUGUCAAGUCCAGGUAAGGUUCUUCGCGUUGCUUCGAAUUAAACCACAUGCUCCGCUGCUUGUGCGGAGCCCCCGUCAAUUCCUUUGAGUUUCAACCUUGCGGCCGUACUCCCCAGGUGGAUUACUUAUUGUGUUAACUCCGGCACGGAGGGGGUCAGACCCCCCACACCUAGUAAUCAUCGUUUACGGCAUGGACUACCAGGGUAUCUAAUCCUGUUUGCUACCCAUGCUUUCGUGCCUCAGCGUCAGUUAAAGCCCAGCAGGCCGCCUUCGCCACUGGUGUUCCUCCCGAUCUCUACGCAUUUCACCGCUACACCGGGAAUUCCGCCUGCCUCUGCUUCACUCAAGCUGCGCAGUUUCAAGUGCCAUCCAUCAGUUAAGCCGAUGGUUUUCAACACCUGACUUGCUCAGCCGCCUACGCACCCUUUACACCCAGUAAAUCCGGACAACGCUCGCUCCCUACGUAUUACCGCGGCUGCUGGCACGUAGUUAGCCGGAGCUUCCUCCCCGAUUACCGUCAUUAUCGUCACCGGGGACAGAGGUUUACAAUCCGAAGACCGUCUUCCCUCACGCGGCGUCGCUGCAUCAGAGUUUCCUCCAUUGUGCAAUAUCCCCCACUGCUGCCUCCCGUAGGAGUCUGGGCCGUCUCUCAGUCCCAAUGUGGCCGUUCAACCUCUCAGUCCGGCUACCGAUCGCUGCUUUGGUGGGCCAUUACCCCGCCAACUGGCUAAUCGGACGCGAGUCCAUCCCUCAGCGGAUUGCUCCUUUGAUUUUUCCUCCAUGCGGCGGAAAAAUUUCAUGCGGUAUUAACGUCCGUUUCCAGACGCUGUCCCCCUCUGAAGGGCAGGUUCCUCACGCGUUACUCACCCGUCCGCCACUGAAACCGGCCAGAGCAAGCUCCAGCCAAUUCCCGUUCGACUUGCAUGUGUUAGGCGCGCCGCCAGCGUUCGUCCUGAGCCAGGAUCAAACUCUA